AGUAAAGGUUGACAAAAUUGAUUUUAAGAAGACAGCCACUACUCGCUCAUGACAUUGAUCCAUGUUCUAAUGAUCUCUGUACUUCUUGUAGUUCCCUAGAAUUUGUUUAGUUGAGGGGUCUUAUGUGACUAUAGAAGCCUUGUUAUCCUGUUUCUAAAUCUAAACACGAUACAUAUGGAGAUGAAUAAAUGUGUUUUUAUUGAUGAGUCUGGUGUCCCAAAAUUUCUUUUAUAUUGCGAUUGUGGAAGUGGUAGACUGCUGGCAUGGAAUUGUUGCUGUUGUGUUUCUUCGUUAUUGUUAUUAUUAUCCUUCUUAUUAUUUCCAAAG
This 327-nucleotide unclassified non-coding RNA is filed under the name Hevea brasiliensis (rubber tree). The record is from RNAcentral. Lineage: Eukaryota; Viridiplantae; Streptophyta; Magnoliopsida; Malpighiales; Euphorbiaceae.